Molecule: ribosomal RNA, 490 nt
Filed under: uncultured bacterium
Lineage: Bacteria
Description: bacterial SSU rRNA
Rfam family: Bacterial small subunit ribosomal RNA
Source: RNAcentral
AUUGAACGCUGGCGGCAGGCCUAACACAUGCAAGUCGAACGGCAGCGGGGGGUAGCUUGCUACCCCGCCGGCGAGUGGCGGACGGGUGAGUAAUGCCUGGGGAGCUGCCCAAUCGAGGGGGAUACCAGUUGGAAACGACUGCUAAUACCGCAUACGCCCUGAGGGGGAAAGGUGGGGAUCUUCGGACCUACCGCGAUUGGAUGCACCCAGGUGGGAUUAGCUAGUUGGUGAGGUAACGGCUCACCAAGGCGACGAUCUCUAGCUGGUCUGAGAGGAUGACCAGCCACACUGGAACUGAGACACGGUCCAGACUCCUACGGGAGGCAGCAGUGGGGAAUAUUGCACAAUGGGGGAAACCCUGAUGCAGCCAUGCCGCGUGUGUGAAGAAGGCCUUCGGGUUGUAAAGCACUUUCAGCGAGGAGGAAAGGAGGAUAGCUAAUACCUAUUCUCUGUGACGUUACUCGCAGAAGAAGCACCGGCUAACUCCGUG